AUUCAGCUGACGAGUUCUGAAUAGGACGAAAUGCGCGUUCUAGAU
Schistosoma mansoni is the source of this 45-nucleotide non-coding RNA. The record is from Rfam. Lineage: Eukaryota; Metazoa; Platyhelminthes; Trematoda; Strigeidida; Schistosomatidae.